This 253-nucleotide ribosomal RNA is filed under the name uncultured bacterium. Its description in RNAcentral is "partial 16S ribosomal RNA". It matches the Rfam family "Bacterial small subunit ribosomal RNA", at positions 524 to 776 of the family's 1533-position model. The record is from RNAcentral.
UACGUAGGGUGCAAGCGUUAAUCGGAAUUACUGGGCGUAAAGCGUGCGCAGGCGGUUUUGUAAGUCUGAUGUGAAAUCCCCGGGCUCAACCUGGGAAUUGCAUUGGAGACUGCAAGGCUAGAAUCUGGCAGAGGGGGGUAGAAUUCCACGUGUAGCAGUGAAAUGCGUAGAUAUGUGGAGGAACACCGAUGGCGAAGGCAGCCCCCUGGGAUAACACUGACGCUCAUGCACGAAAGCGUGGGGAGCAAACAGG